This is a long non-coding RNA of Oncorhynchus kisutch (coho salmon), 966 nucleotides long. RefSeq lists it as uncharacterized. The record is from RefSeq and is a predicted model, not a curated record. NCBI's taxonomy places the organism in Eukaryota, Metazoa, Chordata, Actinopteri, Salmoniformes, Salmonidae. The transcript has 3 exons.
AGUACCUGCAGUCGCACAUGAUGCAGGUACAGUGCAUGUGUGGGAAUCUGACAGUCUGUCGUUGGUGGCUGACCUCCAGGUUCACAUACACAAUAGCUGAAUUUGCAGAGCUAGCGAUCAAACCGAUGGACAGAUAUGCAGGGACAGACUGGCAGAGACAGGGAGUCUCAGGAGACAGAUUGUGAGUCAGUGAGGGUGGUGAAAGGAAGAGUCACAGCAGAAGAAACUCCGACUGUCUCUGGUAUGCAGGCUGCAGUCGAGUGUGUGCUGUCAUCUCUUAGGGGCAAGAGAAAUGACGAAAGCUACCUUGCACUGUAUGAGAAAUCAACACACUCAAGACGAUUUGCUGGCAAAGCAGUGGAUCACUAUAGGGCAGAAUGUUUUUAAGUGUUGGAUGCUGUGGAGGUUCAGUUUGGCGACUGAUUUGACCAGGACAGUCUAAACUUCCUGCAAAAAUUGGAAAGAGCGCUUCUCACGGGGGAGUUGGAUGAGUAUCUAGAUCAGUACCCUGAGCUAAACAUAGAUUCUCUUUCAGUGCAGUUGCCUCUCUUUCGCAACAAAUACCCCUGUAGCAGCAGUGGAGAGGCAGCAGAGGUCAGGAGGCUUCCAGUGGAGGUGCGGGGGUUGUUUGACCAAGUUAAGGUGCUGAUCAGAAUUUUGUUUGUGGUGCCAGUGUCUUCAUGUGAGGCUGAGAUGAGUUUCAGUGCACUCCGCAGGUUGAAGACUUGGCUACGGGCUAGCAUGGGCCAAGAGAGACUGAACGGCGUAGUUGUCUGUAAUGUACAUAAAGUCAGUCUGGACAGUCUAAAGAGGGAAAAUAUCUGCCAGCAAUUUGUUGGAUCCAUUGAAACCCGCAAACAUAUGUUCGGAUCUUUUGUUCAUUUGUUCAGUAGUGUGUACAGCAGUGGUUCUCAACUUUUUUGGGGUACUGGAACCCCUACAUAUUUUGAGGCAAGGCAGGCAAGG